GCGACCUUACGGUGGCCGAGAAAGCCCAACGCUGUGCAAAUUGAAAAGCAAAAAGCAGAAAAUACAUCCAUCAAAAUCACUGCAAAUCGAGAAACGCGCUUCAAAUACAACCACAACACAACGGAAUUUUCCCGGGGGACCUUAAAAGAUGCUGUACCAUCUAAACUACGUCUUCAGUAGCGUCUCGGACUUCACUGUGUGUACAGAGGACUAUAAAUGGCAAACAAGCUUCUGAAAAGUCAUGUUUUGCCCAUUUUGUGGAAAUGCUUUGGAGGAUAUUGGGACAUUCUGUCUGUCCUGUGGUGGGAAUAUUCCAUUUUUAAGAAAUGUUCAAAAUGAACCUGUAUCUGAAGACCACCUAGAGGAUGAGCUAAUUCAUAAGUAUUUCAAAGUAUGA
This 397-nucleotide long non-coding RNA is filed under the name Astyanax mexicanus (Mexican tetra). RNAcentral's name for it is "lncRNA (ENSAMXG00005025224.1)". The record is from RNAcentral. Lineage: Eukaryota; Metazoa; Chordata; Actinopteri; Characiformes; Acestrorhamphidae.